Molecule: ribosomal RNA, 311 nt
Filed under: Trochoideus goudoti
Lineage: Eukaryota; Metazoa; Arthropoda; Insecta; Coleoptera; Endomychidae
Description: partial 12S ribosomal RNA
Source: RNAcentral
UUAUGUUCAUAAAAAUUAAAUAAAAUGGCGGUAUCUUAUUCUUUUCAGAGGAACCUGUUUAAUAAAUGAUAAUCCACGAUUGAUUCUACUUAUAUUUUUAGUUUGUAUAUCGUCGUAAAAAGAAAAUUUUUAAAAAAUUUAAUUUUCUUAAUUUUUUAUUAAAAAUUACUUCAGAUCAAGGUACAGCUUAUAUAGAAGUUUAAAUGGGUUACUAUUUUGUUAUUUUAGGAUCAUUAAUUGAAAAUUAAUUUGAAUAUGGAUUUGAGAGUAAUAAUAAAUACAAAUUUGUUAUGAUUUAGUUCUAAGAUGUG